This 1346-nucleotide ribosomal RNA is filed under the name uncultured bacterium. Its description in RNAcentral is "bacterial SSU rRNA". It matches the Rfam family "Bacterial small subunit ribosomal RNA", at positions 28 to 1381 of the family's 1533-position model. The record is from RNAcentral.
GACGAACGUUGGCGGCGUGCUUAACACAUGCAAGUCGAACGGAAAGGCCCUGCUUUUGUGGGGUGCUCGAGUGGCGAACGGGUGAGUAACACGUGAGUAACCUGCCCUUGACUUUGGGAUAACUUCAGGAAACUGGGGCUAAUACCGGAUAGGAGCUCCUGCUGCAUGGUGGGGGUUGGAAAGUUUCGGCGGUUGGGGAUGGACUCGCGGCUUAUCAGCUUGUUGGUGGGGUAGUGGCUUACCAAGGCUUUGACGGGUAGCCGGCCUGAGAGGGUGACCGGCCACAUUGGGACUGAGAUACGGCCCAGACUCCUACGGGAGGCAGCAGUGGGGAAUAUUGCACAAUGGGCGGAAGCCUGAUGCAGCAACGCCGCGUGCGGGAUGACGGCCUUCGGGUUGUAAACCGCUUUCGCCUGUGACGAAGCGUGAGUGACGGUAAUGGGUAAAGAAGCACCGGCUAACUACGUGCCAGCAGCCGCGGUGAUACGUAGGGUGCGAGCGUUGUCCGGAUUUAUUGGGCAUAAAGGGCUCGUAGGUGGUUGAUCGCGUCGGAAGUGUAAUCUUGGGGCUUAACCCUGAGCGUGCUUUCGAUACGGGUUGACUUGAGGAAGGUAGGGGAGAAUGGAAUUCCUGGUGGAGCGGUGGAAUGCGCAGAUAUCAGGAGGAACACCAGUGGCGAAGGCGGUUCUCUGGGCCUUUCCUGACGCUGAGGAGCGAAAGCGUGGGGAGCGAACAGGCUUAGAUACCCUGGUAGUCCACGCUGUAAACGGUGGGUACUAGGUGUGGGGUCCAUUCCACGGGUUCCGUGCCGUAGCUAACGCUUUAAGUACCCCGCCUGGGGAGUACGGCCGCAAGGCUAAAACUCAAAGGAAUUGACGGGGCCCCGCACAAGCGGCGGAGCAUGCGGAUUAAUUCGAUGCAACGCGUAGAACCUUACCUGGGUUUGACAUGGAUCGGGAGUGCUCAGAGAUGGGUGUGCCUCUUUUGGGGUCGGUUCACAGGUGGUGCAUGCCUGUCGUCAGCUCGUGUCGUGAGAUGUUGGGUUAAGUCCCGCAACGAGCGCAACCCUUGUUCACUGUUGCCAGCACGUUAUGGUGGGGACUCAGUGGAGACCGCCGGGGUCAACUCGGAGGAAGGUGGGGAUGACGUCAAGUCCUCAUGCCCCUUAUGUCCAGGGCUUCACGCAUGCUACAAUGGCUGGUACAGAGAGUGGCGAGCCUGUGAGGGUGAGCGAAUCUCGGAAAGCCGGUCUCAGUUCGGAUUGGGGUCUGCAACUCGACCUCAUGAAGUCGGAGUCGCUAGUAAUCGCAGAUCAGCAACGCUGCGGUGAAUACGUUCCCGGGGCU